RNAcentral lists this unclassified non-coding RNA (305 nucleotides) under plant metagenome. RNAcentral describes it as "partial contains 5.8S ribosomal RNA, internal transcribed spacer 2, and large subunit ribosomal RNA". The stretch from base 1 to 105 matches the Rfam family "5.8S ribosomal RNA", at positions 50 to 154 of the family's 154-position model. The record is from RNAcentral.
GAAAUGCGAUAAGUAAUGUGAAUUGCAGAAUUCAGUGAAUCAUCGAAUCUUUGAACGCACAUUGCGCCCGCCAGUACUCUGGCGGGCAUGCCUGUUCGAGCGUCAUUUCAACCAUCAAGCCCCCGGCUUGUGUUGGGGACCUGCGGCUGCCCGCAGGCCCUGAAAAACAGUGGCGGGCUCGCUGUCACACCGAGCGUAGUAGCAUACAUUCUCGCUCAGGGCGUGCUGCGGGUUCCGGCCGUUAAACGACCUUCAUAACCCAAGGUUGACCUCGGAUCAGGUAGGAAGACCCGCUGAACUUAAGC